AAAAAGGCUCUUUUUAGAGCCACCAAAUCUUCAUAAAAGGAGCUA
Non-coding RNA from Rattus norvegicus (Norway rat), 45 nucleotides. The record is from Rfam. Lineage: Eukaryota; Metazoa; Chordata; Mammalia; Rodentia; Muridae.